RNAcentral lists this ribosomal RNA (441 nucleotides) under uncultured bacterium. RNAcentral's name for it is "partial 16S ribosomal RNA". It matches the Rfam family "Bacterial small subunit ribosomal RNA", at positions 338 to 795 of the family's 1533-position model. The record is from RNAcentral.
CCUACGGGUGGCAGCAGUGGGGAAUAUUGCACAAUGGGGGCAACCCUGAUGCAGCGACGCCGCGUGCGCGAUGACGUCUUUCGGUAUGUAAAGCUCUAUCAGCAGGGAAGAAAAUGACGGUACCUGACUACGAAGCCCCGGCUAACUACGUGCCAGCAGCCGCGGUAAUACGUAGGGGGCAAGCGUUAUCCGGAUUUACUGGGUGUGAAGGGAGCGUAGACGGUCCUGCAAGCCAGAUGGGAAAGCCCGGGGCUCAACCCCGGGACUGCAUUUGGAACUGUAAGGCUAGAGUGUCGGAUAGGCAGGCGGAAUUCCUAGGGUAGCGGUGAAAAGCGUAGAUAUUAGGAGGAACACCAGUGGCGAAGGCGGCGUGCUGGACGAGGACUGACGUUGAGGCUCGAAAGCGUGGGGAGCAAACAGGAUUAGAUACCCCUUGUAGUC